This 1803-nucleotide long non-coding RNA is filed under the name Lactuca sativa (garden lettuce). RNAcentral describes it as "long non-coding RNA (LSAT_LNC010288)". Lineage: Eukaryota; Viridiplantae; Streptophyta; Magnoliopsida; Asterales; Asteraceae. The record is from RNAcentral.
UUUUAUUUGCUUGAUGCUUGUUUUGGAAGUUAAAGCAUUGUCAUCCAUUCCAUCCUUUGAGGGGGAGAUUGUAGGGUUUCAAAGCACUCCAUGGAUGAUGGCAAUGGGCCCCUUUGAUGAAUUCUAGGUUAAAUGCCCAAGACUUGUCUUUUCCCUAUAAAUAGUCAUGUAUUAUUCACAAUUAGGGUUAAGAGUGAGACAAAAUGUAGCCGCCACGUGAGGUUUCUUAUGUAGUGUUAGAUUCUUUAGUCUAUGCUGAAAGUGUAAUUUAUUCCUCAUGUUAUGAAUAAAUCGAGUGAUCAUUCGACAUAAUCUUCAUAUUUGUGUUUGUUCUUAUUUUCCGCAUCUUGUUCAUCAAAUCACAAUUAGGGUUUUAAUCCUAACAAGUGGUAUCAGAGCGGGUCUUUAAAGAUCUACUGAUUUUUGAAGUAUCGGUUCUUGGUUUGGUGAUUUUACCCAAGUUAUUGAAGAUUAUUGGUGUUUUGGCGGUUUGGAAUCAAGGUUUUUUUUUUCUACUGUUCAUGAUGAUUUAAGGUGUUCUUCUACUGUUCAUCUGAAAAAUAAUGAUUCCAUCAAGUCUUGGCGGUUCGGAAAGUCAUUUUUCGUGAUAACGACAAAUUUUCACGACUUUUUCGAUUUUAUACUUUAUUGUGUAUAUCAUUUUGUCGCGGGGGAGCUUAGUAAAUUUUUAUCCAUUCAAGAUCAUUCUCAUGACCACUUGAAGGCUUUAUAAUCAUGUUUUUGAUUAUAAAUCGGGGGAGAAUUUGGUAUGGUCAUUCGAAAUUGGAUUUGUGACUUUUCAAAGUUGAGGAUUUUUGAUAAAGCUUGUGGUAGAAUUAUGAAGGUAGCUUUUACAGUGGAAGUUCUUCAUCGAGCUCUGCUAAAGCUUUUACAGAGAAGUAUCCUUUACAGCGGAAGUUCUUUAUCGAGCUCUGCUAAGAACUCGUUAUAUCUCCGACUUCUAGUAUUUUCUCGAUCAAGUGGCAUUACAAAUCUUAAAGUUUGGGUUGUUACAUGACAUUUUUUGAUGGCUUAUAUCAUUAGCUUAUUUGAAGAUCAUUGUGACUUGGAAGGGGAGCUCUUCAAAGACAAGAAGUGAUUCGGUUUCUUUGUUCUGAAAUGGGUUUUUAUGGCGGGUUUGGUUUUCAUGAAGAUUCUUUGGGAUUACAUUCGAAAAUGAAGUUUAAAGACAUUACUUCAGUGCUUGAUUUAUAUAUCCUAGAGCCUGUGUUUGAAGACUAUUGAAGAAUCAAGAUUCGAGGAUUGCUUCAUAUAUUCCUCGUUGCAGAUCUUUUUAUUUGCUUGAUGCUUGUUUUGGAAGUUAAAGCAUUGUCAUCCAUUCCAUCCUUUGAGGGGGAGAUUGUAGGGUUUCAAAGCACUCCAUGGAUGAUGGCAAUGGGCCCCUUUGAUGAAUUCUAGGUUAAAUGCCCAAGACUUGUCUUUUCCCUAUAAAUAGUCAUGUAUUAUUCACAAUUAGGGUUAAGAGUGAGACAAAAUGUAGCCGCCACGUGAGGUUUCUUAUGUAGUGUUAGAUUCUUUAGUCUAUGCUGAAAGUGUAAUUUAUUCCUCAUGUUAUGAAUAAAUCGAGUGAUCAUUCGACAUAAUCUUCAUAUUUGUGUUUGUUCUUAUUUUCCGCAUCUUGUUCAUCAAAUCACAAUUAGGGUUUUAAUCCUAACAAGUGGUAUCAGAGCGGGUCUUUAAAGAUCUACUGAUUUUUGAAGUAUCGGUUCUUGGUUUGGUGAUUUUACCCAAGUUAUUGAAGAUUAUUGGUGUUUUGGCGGUUUGGAAUCAAGGUUUUUUUUU